AGAACGACGGGGCGGCUACCACAUGCGAGAGAGAGAGGAAAGUCCCUUCGGGGGCGAGUAAAGCGGCGGACGGGUGAGUAAUACAUGGAUAAUCUUCCCUCGAGCCUGGGAUAACCCUGCGAAAGUGGGGCUAAUACCGGAUAAGACCACAUGACACAUGUCACGGGGUAGAAGGUGGCUUGUAUUUAUAUGAGCUAUCACUUGAGGAUGAGUCCAUGGCCUAUCAGCUAGUUGGUGAGGUAAGAGCUUACCAAGGCUAUGACGGGUAGCUGGUCUGAGAGGACGACUAGCCACACUGGGACUGAGACACGGCCCAGACUCCUACGGGAGGCAGCAGUGGGGAAUAUUGGGCAAUGGGCGAAAGCCUGACCCAGCGACGCCGCGUGGGUGAUGAAGGCCUUCGGGUUGUAAAACCCUUUCGUGCGGAAAGAAUAGUCCUGUAGCGAAUAACUACGGGAUUUGACGGUACCGCAGGAAGAAGCACCGGCUAACUCCGUG
This 498-nucleotide ribosomal RNA is filed under the name uncultured bacterium. RNAcentral describes it as "bacterial SSU rRNA". It matches the Rfam family "Bacterial small subunit ribosomal RNA", at positions 38 to 507 of the family's 1533-position model. The record is from RNAcentral.